CAGGCCUAACACAUGCAAGUCGAGCGGUAAGGCACCUUCGGGUGUACACGAGCGGCGAACGGGUGAGUAACACGUGAGUAACCUGCCCUUCUCAUCGGAAUAAGCGUUGGAAACGACGUCUAAUGCCGAAUAUGACUUCGGACCGCAUGGUCUGAAGUGGAAAGCUCCGGCGGAGAAGGAUGGACUCGCGGCCUAUCAGCUUGUUGGUGAGGUAAUGGCUCGCCAAGGCGACGACGGGUAGCCGGCCUGAGAGGGUGACCGGCCACACUGGGACUGAGACACGGCCCAGACUCCUACGGGAGGCAGCAGUGGGGAAUAUUGGACAAUGGGCGAAAGCCUGAUCCAGCAACGCCGCGUGAGGGAUGACGGCCUUCGGGUUGUAAACCUCUUUCAGUAGGGACGAAGCGAAAGUGACGGUACCUACAGAAGAAGGACCGGCCAACUACGUGCCAGCAGCCGCGGUAAUAAGGGC
This 472-nucleotide ribosomal RNA is filed under the name uncultured bacterium. RNAcentral describes it as "bacterial SSU rRNA". It matches the Rfam family "Bacterial small subunit ribosomal RNA", at positions 43 to 533 of the family's 1533-position model. The record is from RNAcentral.